Molecule: ribosomal RNA, 253 nt
Filed under: uncultured bacterium
Lineage: Bacteria
Description: partial 16S ribosomal RNA
Rfam family: Bacterial small subunit ribosomal RNA
Source: RNAcentral
UACGUAGGGGGCAAGCGUUGUCCGGAAUCAUUGGGCGUAAAGAGCGUGUAGGCGGCUCGGUAAGUCCGCUGUGAAAGUCCAGGGCUCAACCCUGGAAUGCCGGUGGAAACUGUCGAGCUAGAGUCCGGAAGAGGCGAGUGGAAUUCCUGGUGUAGCGGUGAAAUGCGCAGAUAUCAGGAGGAACACCAAAGGCGAAGGCAGUGUCCUGGGGAGUACCUGACGCUCAGGUGCGAAAGCCAGGGGAGCGAACGGG